This 409-nucleotide ribosomal RNA is filed under the name uncultured Alphaproteobacteria bacterium. RNAcentral's name for it is "bacterial SSU rRNA". It matches the Rfam family "Bacterial small subunit ribosomal RNA", at positions 8 to 444 of the family's 1533-position model. Lineage: Bacteria; Pseudomonadati; Pseudomonadota; Alphaproteobacteria. The record is from RNAcentral.
AGAGUUUGAUCCUGGCUCAGAACGUACGCUGGCGGCACGCCUUAUACAUGCAAGUCGAACGAAGUAGCAAUACUUAGUGGCAGACGGGUGAGUAACAUGUGGGUAUCUUCCCUUUGGUGAGGAAUAACACGAGGAAACUUGUGCUAAUACCUCAUAAGUCUUUACGGAGAAAGCUUUACGCGCCAAUGGAUGAGCCCGCACUUGAUUAGUUUGUUGGUGGGGUAAUGGCCUACCAAGACUGUGAUCAAUAGCUGAUUUGAGAGGAUGAUCAGCCACAUUGGGACUGAGACACGGCCCAAACUCCUACGAGAGGCAGCAGUAGGGAAUCUUGCACAAUGGAGGAAACUCUGAUGCAGCGAUGCCGCGUGAGUGGAGAAGGCCUUUGGGUUGUAAAGCUCUUUCGUCGGGG